Molecule: ribosomal RNA, 426 nt
Filed under: uncultured bacterium
Lineage: Bacteria
Description: partial 16S ribosomal RNA
Rfam family: Bacterial small subunit ribosomal RNA
Source: RNAcentral
GUGAGGAAUUUUCCGCAAUGGGCGAAAGCCUGACGGAGCAAUGCCGCGUGAAGGAUGAAGGCCUAUGGGUUGUAAACUUCUUUUCUCAGAAAAGAAUUAUGACGGUAUCUGAGGAAUAAGCAUCGGCUAACUCUGUGCCAGCAGCCGCGGUAAGACAGAGGAUGCAAGCGUUAUCCGGAAUGAUUGGGCGUAAAGCGUCUGUAGGUUGUUUAAAAAGUAUUCUGUCAAAGAUUAGGGCUUAACCCUAGAUAGGCAGAAUAAACUUUUAAGCUAGAGUUUGGUAGAGGCAGAGGGAAUUCCCGGAGGAGCGGUGAAAUGCGUAGAUAUCGGGAGGAACACCAAAGGCGAAGGCACUCUGCUGGGCCGAUACUAACACUGAGAGACGAAAGCGAGGGGAGCAAAUGGGAUUAGAUACCCCGGUAGUCC